RNAcentral lists this ribosomal RNA (429 nucleotides) under bacterium. RNAcentral's name for it is "partial 16S ribosomal RNA". It matches the Rfam family "Bacterial small subunit ribosomal RNA", at positions 355 to 776 of the family's 1533-position model. The record is from RNAcentral.
UAGGGAAUCUUCGGCAAUGGGGGCAACCCUGACCGAGCAACGCCGCGUGAGUGAAGAAGGUUUUCGGAUCGUAAAGCUCUGUUGUAAGAGAAGAACGUGUGUGAGAGUGGAAAGUUCACACAGUGACGGUAACUUACCAGAAAGGGACGGCUAACUACGUGCCAGCAGCCGCGGUAAUACGUAGGUCCCGAGCGUUGUCCGGAUUUAUUGGGCGUAAAGCGAGCGCAGGCGGUUUAAUAAGUCUGAAGUUAAAGGCAGUGGCUUAACAAUUGUUCGCUUUGGAAACUGUUAAACUUGAGUGCAGAAGGGGAGAGUGGAAUUCCAUGUGUAGCGGUGAAAUGCGUAGAUAUAUGGAGGAACACCGGUGGCGAAAGCGGCUCUCUGGUCUGUAACUGACGCUGAGGCUCGAAAGAGUGGGGAGCAAACAGG